GACGAACGCUGGCGGCGUGCUUAACACAUGCAAGUCGAACGAAGUGGCGAACGGGUGAGUAACGCGUAAGCAACCUGCCCUUCAGAGGGGGACAACAGUGGGAAACGACUGCUAAUACCGCAUACUGACGGCGGGGAUUGCGUCUGCAUAGCUAGUUUGAGGGGUAACGGCCCACCAAGGCGAUGAUCAGUAGCCUGUCUGGGAGGAUGAACGGCCACAUUGUGACUGAGACACGGCCCAGACUCCUACGGGAGGCAGCAGUUGGGAAUCUGCCGCAAUGGACGGAAGUCUGACGGAGCAACGCCGCGUGAGUGAUGACGGCCUUCGGGUUGUAAAGCUCUGUUAAUCGGGACGCGGUACCGGAAGAGAAAGCCACGGCUAACUACGUGCCAGCAGCCGCGGUAAUUC
RNAcentral lists this ribosomal RNA (408 nucleotides) under uncultured bacterium. RNAcentral describes it as "partial 16S ribosomal RNA". It matches the Rfam family "Bacterial small subunit ribosomal RNA", at positions 28 to 526 of the family's 1533-position model. The record is from RNAcentral.